RNAcentral lists this ribosomal RNA (253 nucleotides) under uncultured bacterium. Its description in RNAcentral is "partial 16S ribosomal RNA". It matches the Rfam family "Bacterial small subunit ribosomal RNA", at positions 524 to 776 of the family's 1533-position model. The record is from RNAcentral.
UACGUAGGAGGCAAGCGUUGUCCGGAAUUACUGGGUGUAAAGCGCGUGUAGGCGGCAGGCCAAGUCUGUGGUGAAAUCGCUCGGCUCAACUGGGCGGGGUCCAUGGAAACUGGUCAGCUGGAGGACGGUAGAGGUGAGUGGAAUUCCCGGUGUAGUGGUGAAAUGCGUAGAGAUCGGGAGGAACACCCGUGGCGAAGGCGGCCACCUGGGCCGACCCUGACGCUGAGGCGCGAAGGCGUGGGGAGCGAACAGG